UUUGGUUGGUGAAAUUGGCACUAGUGUGGAUACACUAAGAGGGCUAGCCGAUUUCACUAAGAGAAAACCAAGUAUUCAUAUUCUCUAAAGUCUUCCAAGGUGUCUUGGUGAUUUGUGAUUCCACUUGAGGCUUCCACACUAUUGGGGCUAAGCUCUUAAAGCUUGAAGACAUCAAGCUACAUCAAAAGAGGUAUGUAUUCUAUCUUGCUAAGUCAUUGUUUUGUAUGCUAGAUUAGGAUAAUACCUUGGAAGUUCUUAUUUGCAUGUAUAAUAGAGAAAACAUAGAUCCAAGGUAUUUAGGGUUGCAUGUACACUUAGGAAGUGUUAGAAUGCUCAAAACCCAACAGUGGUAUCAGAGCCACGGGUUGUUUUCUGUUAUAUUGAUGCAAAUAUUUUAUUUUCAAAGUUGAAAAAAAAAAAAAAAAAAAACAUGAAGUUUGUCAAAUUUUAAGAUAAUUACUUGUUCUUGUGAAAAACUAAUUAUUUGUAAAAUUUGAAUAAUUUGCUUUAUGAGUUGAAUUAGGUCAAAUUUAAUAAAAGAUAAAAUAAUAUGAUUAUUUUAUUAGUUUUAAAAGUUUGAUCUAAAGAGUUUUAUUUUUUGAAACCUCCAUAAGUUAUGGAUAUGAAAAGGUUUUAAAAAAAAAAUUGAUUCAAAGUUUUUUUGGAGUUACAAAAUUUGGUGUUAAUGUUUUAAAGGAUUCCAUAACUUAAGAAUAAGUUAUGGAUCACCAAAAGUUUUUUGUGUUACCUUGUUUUAUGAGUGAAUUUAGAUUAAUGAAUAAAAUUAUGUGAUAGUUGGUUUUAAUCCAAAUUAAUCUAAGAAUUGAUUCUAAAAUGUGUUUUUGUAACUUGUCCUCAAGUUAUAUGAAAAGUCACAUUUAAGAAUCAUAAAACUCAUAAAAAUUGGCAAAGGUUACAAAAAUGAAGAGUCUAGUUCUAAUUAAAUGGUUUUAUGACUCCAUAACUUGUCCUCAAGUUAUGGAGGACCAAGAGUCUCUUCAUUUAAUAAAAUAAAAUAAAAAAAAAAAAAGUGUAACCUUAAUUAAUUCCAUAAGUUAUAAAAUAAAGAAAAGUUAAUUCUUUUAUUAGUUUAAAGUCUUCCAUAACUUGUCCUCAAGUUAUGGAACUUGAAGAGUUUUUGGAUUAAAACUACUUUAAACACAUAAGUUAUGGAAUUAAUUAGUUUUGAAUAGUUUCAAAACUUGCCCUCAAGUUUUGGAAUUUGUAAAGUUUUCACUUAUGAAUACUUUAAUUCCAAGUUAGCCCUUAGAAUUUUAAAAGUUAAAAUUCAACCCUUAUACUUUAUAAUAUUAUAAGUUAAUAAUAUAUAUAUGUAUAAGAGUAAAGUCAGUCUUACCGCUAGUACGCCUCAUUCACGAAGCCGGUCUAUAAGGUGGGUAUAAGGUUGUUGCCUAUAAAAUGGCAACUUAAUGGGUGUCCACUCUCACCCACCGCUUGCUUGACUGGUGGAGGGUCGUUAGCCGAACGGGUUUGACAGGACUAGAAUUCUCCCUUCAUUAAAAGUAUUAAUGAUAAUACUAAGUAACUAAACUCUUAAUAAUACCCAAUCUUAGUUACUUAGGAAAAAUGUGAAUAAGGUGCUAAUCCAUGAAAUUACACUUUACACUUUGUCUAAGUCGUUAGUGGAGCGUGUGUGGUUAACCGGCACACUAACUUGGACUUAACAAGGUAGGUAAAGGGUGACUUAAUAUUUAUCAUAGUAUCGAUGGAGCGUGUGUGGUUAACCGGCACAUCGAUUGAGGGGUAAUUUAUUAAGGGUACCAAGUGAUUUGCAUGGUUACUUCACACCUUGUUUUGUGAUCCUCGGCAUCCCAGUCACAAAACCUGAAGGGCACACUCGAGAUUGAAACAUGCCUUUGAACAGUUCAAUGAAUCUCAAAGAUCUAGGAGUUUCAAAACCAAUUAAAACCUAAUAAUACAUUUCGUUUAUCUUGGUGGAAAUUGGUGAAUCGUCAUUCACCUACCUUCAAAUAUUUUAUAGCUUGGAUUACGGCAUACCUCUUCUAAGUUAUAAAAUAGUUUGUUGGGUCCUAGCCUUAAUAUUUCAUAUUGGGUGUCAUAUUAAGGACUUUAAAUCAACUAUCUUGAAUAUCUCCCAAAAGAUGUCUGUAAUAGACACCUAUGAUCUUCCCAAAUCUAGUGAAACAAGGUUUCCUAAAUGAAGAUGAUGUCCUUUGGAAAUCAUACUUCUUUCACCUCCUCCAAUUAUUCUCCCUAACCCACAAGUUCUUGAAAAGUUUAAGGUCACUCAAGCCCUAUUGGCAAGGCAAGGUCUAGGUGUGAUCACAUCUUGGAGAUGUAGUCACAUAUUGACAAGCCGGGAGAGUUGGGUGUCAAAGUCUUGAGAAAGUUGGUGGUUCAAUCACUUUCUAAGUCACAUAGUGAGUUCCUUUGGGACACCUAUGAAACAGACUAUGACAAGACCCUUAAUGAUCUUAUCUAUUUGCUAAGAUCAACUUCCUAAAACUUUAUGGACAUUGACAAUGAUGACAUUGGAUAUCCAGUAAAGCAUUCUCUUCCCAAUGGAAAGGGAUCGGCCAUAGUCAACUCGGUUGACCAAAUGGUAAAGAGAAAAGCUAAGUCUGUGAUAGUCCCGUGUACCAUUAUCAAAGGGUCCAUAUGUUUAUAUUGCCAAAGGAAGGGGCAUUGGUUGCGAAGCUGCCAAAUUUACCUAAGGAUGUUAAAGUCAAUAAGUUUGACUCUACUUCAGGUAAAGUCCACUAUCUAACUCUGUUAAGUUUCUAUUCUGAGAUUCCUGAUACAUGAUGUGACUGGGUCACAUGGUGAUGUUUUAAGAAUCAAAGAAAAGUGAAGAAACUUAAAGAAAGAAUAUGCUGAAUCUGAUGGCGUAGAUGGAUUUCUAUCGCAUAGUUUGAAGAUCGGAUUCUUGAGCAACUUCUUAGGAGUUAUGAGAUAUUGCUUAGGAAUAGAUAACAACAAGUUUUCAUAUGGAUUGUAAGGAUAAGUUUUUCCGCAAAGUUUUAAAAUAAAAGAAAAUUUUUGAUUUUAUUUAUUUUAAAAUAUCCUUACAAUGGCAUUUGAGGAAAAAUUGUUGCUUAUAUGAUUCCAUUAAUAGCAAGAGUGGAAAUAUGAAAUUGAUUCUUUCAUUUGUGGUAAUGUCUAGAUUUACCAAAUAAGGAAAGAUUCUCAUCACCCAAGUUUCAAUUGGACCGGAACUUGGAAUCAUGCAAGUUGUAUAGCAUGAUGAAUGAGAACUUUCAAGUUUUGGAAAAUUAAGACUAAUUACUCGGCCACAUGGAUGUGUGAGUCAAGUAAAGGACUAAGGGAUCGAGUACACAUUCUUGUGCACUGAUUAAGUCCACCACAAAAGAUUGAUAAGACUAUUCGUCAUAGUUUACUAAAGCUCAGUAAAUAUGAUUAUACUUACAAGCUUAAGUGUAACUCUGAGACAUUGGAAAAGGUUCCAAUGUAUGGCAGAGCGAAUAAGAAGAAUCAAAUUAGGCAGAAGGAUAAAAGUUUCUCAAAUCUGAAAAGAUGGGAGAGUACUUUAGUAUCAGUUUUGUGAUCAUCUUAAUGAUUAAGAAACCAUAUCAAAAUUAGUUCUCUAAGGAAAUCUUAGUGCAUUCUUAUGACUAAGAAGAGGAACUUGAAUUGUUGAAAUGGUUAAAUCAAGAAGAUGAGUCAUACUUCGUUCCAAUACAAGUCUUAGAGUCAUACUCCAAGAUUGUAACUUGAGUGACAUGUCUUAAAGAAGGUUUAAAACACUUGUCAAAUGUAAGAGUAAAAGUUUUCUACUCUUGUACAUUUGAAAUUGGUAAGUUGUGAUGUUUUGGAUAAAACAAAGACCAACUUAGGCCAAUUGUGUGAAGUGUUUGUCUUGAUUAGAAUCCACACUAUCUCUUGGAUAUUUGACAAGGGAGUCUUAUAGGUCAAGAGGUCAGUGGGAGUCUUAAAAGUCUUGAAAGUCUCAAGAACUAAUCAAGAAUAAAACCUAAAGUUCUUCACUAGCACACAACUUGAGGUUCAUAACCUAUCGUGUUGACAUAUUCUGUGCCCAUUCCAGUUAAAGUUGGUUUUGCAUAUGAGUUCUUAGAGUUCUCAAUUUGUUGCACAACAACUUGGAAGCAAUGGUAGGCCCUUGAGCUGCCAGGUGGCAAGAAAUUAAGAUUGAGUUCAGUCCAUAUGAGUUUGGAUUUGUCAUUAUCCUUGUCUUGUGACUAUGGUUUUGACAAUUCACAUGGAUAAGAACACAUACACCAUUAAAUCUAAGUGUCAUAAGGUUUCUCUCCGAUUCAUGAAAAUGAUGGUGAGGAAACACUUUCACUAAGUAGAUUUUAGCUAGAUAGCAAUUGUGAUAUUUGCAUUCUCAAAGUCGUUAGUGGAGCGCGUGUGGUUAACCGGCACACUAAUUUGGACUUGUGAGAAGUGGCAAAAAGGUCUAAACAUUAUGAUUACGGCAUCCCUCUUCAUAAUUGUUUAGAUACACAAGUGUGCUAUCUAAGGGAAGGUGUAUGAUUUUGAUACAGCUUUAUCAAAACAAUCUAGCAUCAGAAAUCUGAACUUUGGUAAGAAAGUCAAUGAAGUAUUGAUUUCUAGAAGUCCAGCUGAUUUCUGAGUACAUGUCAAAGCUAGUGGGAGCAUAAGUGUUAUGCUAAUAAUCAUCAUGUUAGUGGGAGCAUGAUAAUUAUGAUAAGUAUUGCAAGUUAGCAAUGUUAAUUAUAGAAAACAAAAGUUUCAAUUGGGAAAAAGUUGUUUUGCUAUAAUUAAGGGAGAGGAAAUUAUACUUCAUCUCAAAUCUAUAAGCUUAGAUCGUGAGGUUUUAAUCAUUUAGUCAAGGAUAUAUAUGAAUUUCAUGUUGGAAUGGCUCAACAUAAGGAAAUUCUGUAUAUGGGUCCAUUAUUUGCGUUCUAAAAUUCGAUUAUGAUUACGGCAUCCCUUUUCAUAAUCUGAAUUAUGAGAACUUGGCAAAUUGAAAUGGAAAUAUUAUAGCAAAAGACUGGUUUAGUCUUUAUGUAAGACAUCAUGAAUCGUGUCCCAUAUGCUUCGGAUAUAGGAUCGAUUACAUGUGCUAUAUUCAUCCGUUCUAAAAUUUUCCAAAUGCCUGGGGCAUUAAGAAGGGAAAAGGUUUAGAACUGGAUAUGACUAAAAGGAUUAAACAAUUGUCGAGGACAAUCUAAGGUUUACCAAAGAUUGGUUGCUCAAGGACAGUUGGAAGUAUAGUGAUAAUUCUGGAAGGACCAUAUUGACAUAAUCUGUAAGGAGGCAACUCUUGUUCAGAAGUGAUAGUCAAAAUGGAAUCUGGAAAUGUUUCAAAGUUAGAAUUUUCAAUCUGUUUAAGAUUAGGAAACUUAAUGCAAGAAGGAUGUUUCCAAGGAGCUGAUCUCCUUUGGAAUACUCUGUAAUGAUUGUUGUCAAGUCUUUCUGACUUUGUGCAUAAUCAUUACAAGAGGAUCAAUGCAUAUAAGUUUAGAAUCUAACAGAUUUCAGUAAAUGGCAUGAAUUUGGAAUUCUUGCAUUUGCAGUAAGGAUUUGGGAGUGUGAAAAGAGAAUCAUUGAAGUUAUGUUCAAUUGAUCUAGUUCACAAAGUAAAGAUCAUAGACAAACAUAGUAUGCAUACUUGGUGUGUGGCAUGACUAGUGUUUAAGAAAACAUAGUGUACAUGCUUGGAGCAUGGGACAACUAUUGUUUUAAAUUCAAGAAUAAAGUUGAUAGCUGAAACAGUAUACAAUGAAUAAUGUGUAAUCAUAUGGUGAUAAAUAAAAGGUGUUUUAUUUAUGUUCAAAGGGUUGAUACCAUAUUGGAUUCAAUUAUUAUUGUGUUUCACUUUGCAUGUUUUGACUUCCCGAAUAAACUGGGUUAUUCUUCCGGAAUGACUAAGUUAUUCAAACCAUCCACAGUCGGUCAUAUGUUGGAAGUAGAUAUGAAUUAAGACUGUCAUGAUGGGUUGUAGAGGUCUAAGGUGUUGGACAAGGCUACAACAAUCAUGAGUGCUCAUAAGUUCUGAGUAUUGGAUUCAACCCGCGCUCAUUGGAAUCACUUCAUGGAUUUUAUCACGAGUGAUCAUGAGACGAUAAUAUCUUAUAUUCUUCAAACCUAGAGAUAUGAGUUGUUACUAUGAGUUGAUAGUACAUUGAUAGCACGAAAACGCAUUUGGUAACUCGGUGCUAUAAAACGUGCCUUUGUGUAUGAUUCAACAAGUAGUAGAACAAGCCAUAUGAGUCGAAGUUUAUCCGUUCCUUUUACCUUCGGGAUAAAAGCGAUAUCUGUGGGCCCCUCGAUGAUUUGAUGAUGACAAAUGGAAGUGCUCGGCCGGGCCAGGACUGAUUUGAUUUGUUCAAUUAGUCAGUCGUCAUAAAUCGGAAAUCGGGAAACAACAAAUGGACAGAGAGAAUGAUUAUAAUCCAUGUCUCAGUCCAUAUGAUAUCUAGAAUGGAGGAAUAUAUGAUCCCUUAUCUAAUGGACAAGUCACUGACAAAGGUCAGAGUUCAUCUACAAGGUCAGAGUUCGACAGAAGCUUUUGAGAGCUACGAUUGCCGGUUGGUUCCUGAAGUCAUACGCAAUAAUAGUUUUAGACUUAUCCAAGUGGGAGACUGUUGGAUUAAUGUCUAAGUCCAUAACUAUAUUUGGUAAGACUUGACCCGACCCGGCAUGGUCCAUUUGGGUUGCAUACCAUCAUGCACUUGAAUGAGAGAAAUAAGACACUUAUGGUUAUUAAUAUAUUAUAAGUUCUAGUAUAUUAAUAAUAAGAAUAAUAAGAUUAUUUAAUUAGUAUUGAUCAAGAAUUAAUCUAGGAUUAAUUAAGUGAUCAAAAGAAGACUAAUUAAAUAUAUGGGUUGAUUGUGUAAAUCAUCCAUACUUGUAUAGUGGGCUAAUGCUCCAUGGAUAAUCAAGUUGGGCUAAAACCCAUAGGAUGGUCCAUGGAUGCUCCAUGGUGUAUUUGUACCCAUGGAUCCAAGGAAAUGGAAAGCCAUGACAAUUAAGAGUUUACCCUAAUUGUGUAACUAUAUAAGCAUCUUAUUAUUGAGGAAAAAUCGGCCACUAGUAGUAUUCAAGAAAGGGCUAGCCGAUUUUGGUGAGUGUAGAAUUCUCUCAAGUCAUUCUAAGUGUUUUGAUGAUUGUGAUUCCAUUUGAGGUGUCACACUUGGGGCACUAAGCACUCAAGCUUCAUGAAGACUUUCUACAUCAAGAGGUAUGUAUUCUAUCUUGUUACAUUAUUGUUUUGUAUGCUAGAUUAGGAUAAUACCUUGGAAGUUCUUAUUUGCAUGUAUAAUAGAGAAAACAUAGAUCCAAGGUAUUUAGGGUUGCAUGUACACUUAGG
This 7300-nucleotide long non-coding RNA is filed under the name Lactuca sativa (garden lettuce). RNAcentral describes it as "long non-coding RNA (LSAT_LNC008120)". Lineage: Eukaryota; Viridiplantae; Streptophyta; Magnoliopsida; Asterales; Asteraceae. The record is from RNAcentral.